This 253-nucleotide ribosomal RNA is filed under the name uncultured bacterium. RNAcentral describes it as "partial 16S ribosomal RNA". It matches the Rfam family "Bacterial small subunit ribosomal RNA", at positions 524 to 776 of the family's 1533-position model. The record is from RNAcentral.
UACGAAGGGAGCUAGCGUUGUUCGGAAUCACUGGGCGUAAAGCGCACGUAGGCGGAUUUGCCAGUCAGGGGUGAAAUCCCGGGGCUCAACCUCGGAACCGCCUUUGAUACAGCAAGUCUUGAGUUCGAGAGAGGUGGGUGGAAUUCCUAGUGUAGAGGUGAAAUUCGUAGAUAUUAGGAAGAACACCGGUGGCGAAGGCGGCCCACUGGCUCGACACUGACGCUGAGGUGCGAAAGCGUGGGGAGCAAACAGG